Molecule: ribosomal RNA, 492 nt
Filed under: uncultured bacterium
Lineage: Bacteria
Description: partial 16S ribosomal RNA
Rfam family: Bacterial small subunit ribosomal RNA
Source: RNAcentral
AUUGAACGCUGGCGGCAUGCUUUACACAUGCAAGUCGAACGGUAACAGGCCUUCGGGUGCUGGCGAGUGGCGAACGGGUGAGUAAUGCAUCGGAACGUGCCCAGAGGUGGGGGAUAACGCAGCGAAAGCUGUGCUAAUACCGCAUGUGAUCUGAGGAUGAAAGCGGGGGACCAGGCAGCAAUGUUUGGCCUCGCGCCUUUGGAGCGGCCGAUGUCAGAUUAGGUAGUUGGUGGGGUAAAGGCCUACCAAGCCGACGAUCUGUAGCUGGUCUGAGAGGACGACCAGCCACACUGGGACUGAGACACGGCCCAGACUCCUACGGGAGGCAGCAGUGGGGAAUUUUGGACAAUGGGCGCAAGCCUGAUCCAGCAAUGCCGCGUGCGGGAAGAAGGCCUUCGGGUUGUAAACCGCUUUUGUACGGAACGAAAAGGCUCUGGCUAAUACCUGGGGCUGAUGACGGUACCGUAAGAAUAAGCACCGGCUAACUACGUG